GAUGAACGCUGGCGGCGUUCCUAAUACAUGCAAGUCGAGCGAGCGGCGGACGGGUGAGUAAUGUCUGGGAAACUGCCUGAUGGAGGGGGAUAACUACUGGAAACGGUAGCUAAUACCGCAUACCCUCAGAUGUGCCCAGAUGGGAUUAGCUAGUAGGUGGGGUAAAGGCUCACCUAGGCGACGAGCCCUGGCUGGUCUGAGAGGAUGACCAGCCACCCUGGAACUGAGACACGGUCCAGACUCCUACGGGAGGCAGCAGUGGGGAAGAUUGCACAAUGGGCGUAAGCCUGAUGCAGCCAUGCCGCGUGUGGGAAGAAGGCCUUAGGGUUGUAAAGCACUUUCAGCGAGGAGGCGUUACUCGCAGAAGAAGCACCGGCUAACUCCGUGCCAGCAGCCGCGGUAAUAC
This 406-nucleotide ribosomal RNA is filed under the name uncultured bacterium. RNAcentral's name for it is "partial 16S ribosomal RNA". It matches the Rfam family "Bacterial small subunit ribosomal RNA", at positions 28 to 526 of the family's 1533-position model. The record is from RNAcentral.